AGUUUUAAUAAGAAGGCAAUUUCCACAGGUACUACUAAUCUACAGGUGCCAAAAGUCCACAGGUACAGAAUUUACAGGUACACUAAUGCCUAACCAUGCUUGUACAUGCCUUGUAGAAUCCAUAGGGGCAGAACACAGGUUUGUAGCACGAGGGAUGACACGUACGGCAAGACGAGCAGGAAUGGCAGGUGUUACUCCCUUGGUUAGUCAGUCCAGCACCUGUGAGGGAGAGACGAGGGAAGGUGAGGUUUGGGUCAAGUUUAUUAUGCAAUGUUCUGAAGCGUUAUGGAUGUAUAAAUCUUGGCGGGUGUUUUAAAUUCUGGUUGGUAUGAAACUGUUCUCUUUAAACCUUACGUGUGUGUGUGUGUGUGUGUGUGUGUGUGUGUGUGUGUGUGUGUGUGUGUGUGUGUGUGUGUGUGUGUGUGUGUGUGUGUGUGUGUGUGUGUGUGUGUGUGUGUGUGUGUGUGUGUGUGUGUGUGU
Long non-coding RNA from Scylla paramamosain (green mud crab), 480 nucleotides. RefSeq lists it as uncharacterized. The transcript has 2 exons. Lineage: Eukaryota; Metazoa; Arthropoda; Malacostraca; Decapoda; Portunidae. The record is from RefSeq and is a predicted model, not a curated record.